Molecule: ribosomal RNA, 1303 nt
Filed under: uncultured bacterium
Lineage: Bacteria
Description: bacterial SSU rRNA
Rfam family: Bacterial small subunit ribosomal RNA
Source: RNAcentral
GAGUUUGAUCAUGGCUCAGGAUGAACGCUGGCGGCGUGCCUAACACAUGCAAGUCGAGCGGCAGCGCGAGUAGUUUACUACUUGGCGGCGAGCGGCGAACGGCUGAGUAACGCGUGGGAAUUUGCCCCAAAGUGAGGAAUAACUGCCCGAAAGGGUGGCUAAUGCCGCAUAUGAUCUUCGGAUUAAAGGAUUUAUCCGCUUUGGGAGAAGCCCGCGUCGGAUUAGGUAGUUGGUGAGGUAAUAGCUCACCAAGCCGACGAUCCGUAGCUGGUCUGAGAGGAUGACCAGCCAGACUGGAACUGAGACACGGUCCAGACUCCUACGGGAGGCAGCAGUGAGGAAUCUUCCACAAUGGGCGAAAGCCUGAUGGAGCAACGCCGCGUGCAGGAUGAAGGCCUUCGGGUUGUAAACUGCUUUUAUAAGUGAGGAAUAUGACGGUAGCUUAUGAAUAAGGAUCGGCUAACUACGUGCCAGCAGCCGCGGUCAUACGUAGGAUCCGAGCGUUAUCCGGAGUGACUGGGCGUAAAGAGUUGCGUAGGCGGUUUGUUAAGUGAAUAGUGAAAUCUGGUGGCUCAACCAUACAGGCUAUUAUUCAAACUGGCAAACUCGAGAGUGGUAGAGGUCACUGGAAUUUCUUGUGUAGGAGUGAAAUCCGCAGAUAUAAGAAGGAACACCGAUGGCGUAGGCAGGUGACUGGACCAUUUCUGACGCUAAGGCACGAAAGCGUGGGGAGCGAACCGGAUUAGAUACCCGGGUAGUCCACGCCGUAAACGAUGGAUACUGGCUGUUGGAGGUAUCGACCCCUUCAGUAGCGAAGCUAACGCGUUAAGUAUCCCGCCUGUGGAGUACGGUCGCAAGACUAAAACAUAAAAGAAUUGACGGGGACCCGCACAAGCGGUGGAUCGUGUUCUUUAAUUCGAUGCUAAACGAAGAACCUUACCAGGGCUUGACAUCCAGGGAAUUUUUGGGAAACCAAUUAGUGCCUUUUGGAACCCUGUGACAGGUGAUGCAUGGCCGUCGUCAGCUCGUGUCGUGAGAUGUUUGGUUAAGUCCAUCAACGAGCGCAACCCUUGCAAACUAGUUGGAUUUUUCUAGUUGGACUGCUUCGGUAACGGAGAGGAAGGAGGGGAUGAUGUCAGGUCAGUAUUUCCCUUACGUCCUGGGCUAGAAACGCGAUACGAAUGGCUAGUACGAAUGCGCGGCGAGAGCCGCGAGGUGGAGCGAAAUCGCGUCGAAGCGUAGUCCCGGUUCGGAAUUGGAGGCUGAAAACUCGCUCUCCGUGAAGUUCGGUAUCGCUAGUUAU